AGCACUGUGGACUUUAACAACGUAUGCAAUAAAAUCUGGUCUCAGGACAAGAAUCGUGUAUUCCUUAAUCGCCAUUAUCGAGUCAGUCUUCAGGGACGUAUUUAUGAUGCAUCAUCUGACACAGACAGAGCUUAUUCGCCACUAUUCUCUUACGUUGAUCGAAAUGUCCUUAAUAGGCCAACUUUCAAAUCUUUUACUGGUAAGUAACACUACAGGAAGGAAUAACACCAUGGAGUAAUACUACUUAGUAUAAAUUCAGUAUUGAAAAAUUGCUUUCAAGCGUUCUGAUUGGCACCCUCAGCAGUAACUCUGAG
Paramuricea clavata is the source of this 314-nucleotide non-coding RNA. NCBI's taxonomy places the organism in Eukaryota, Metazoa, Cnidaria, Anthozoa, Malacalcyonacea, Plexauridae. The record is from the annotation of a GenBank genome assembly.